CCUACGGGAGGCAGCAGUGAGGAAUAUUGGUCAAUGGACGAGAGUCUGAACCAGCCAAGCAGCGUGAAGGAUGACUGUCCUAUGGGUUGUAAACUUCUUUUAUAAAGGAAUAAAACGAGGCACGUGUGCCUUUUUGCAUGUACUUUAUGAAUAAGGAUCGGCUAACUCCGUGCCAGCAGCCGCGGUAAUACGGAGGAUCCGAGCGUUAUCCGGAUUUAUUGGGUUUAAAGGGUGCGUAGAUGGGUUGUUAAGUCAGUUGUGAAAGGUUGCGGCUCAACCGUAAAAUUGCAAUUGAUACUGGCAGUCUUGAGUACAGUUGAGGUAGGCGGAAUUCGUGGUGUAGCGGUGAAAUGCUUAGAUAUCACGAAGAACCCCGAUUGCGAAGGCAGCUUACUAAACUGUGACUGACAUUGAUGCUCGAAAGUGUGGGUAUCAAACAGGAUUAGAUACCCUUGUAGUC
RNAcentral lists this ribosomal RNA (460 nucleotides) under uncultured bacterium. Its description in RNAcentral is "partial 16S ribosomal RNA". It matches the Rfam family "Bacterial small subunit ribosomal RNA", at positions 338 to 795 of the family's 1533-position model. The record is from RNAcentral.